UUGGAUCCUGCUGUCCAUCUGUAGGGCUUGGAUGCUUAACACCUGUCCAGGUGUCAGCUAAGGAAUAGUAUUUUGGAGUGUUAUGAGGUUUGUCUUCAUAGUGUCAGUAGCUGGCAUUGGGUAUUGUCCUUGUCAUGUCAGACUGCAACUUGUUCAGGUGUCGGCUUGGACUCUUGUGUCCCGGUCCGGGGGAAGGAUGGAUAGGUUGCGUCUGGGUCCGGGAUCAUCUCCGGGGUCCGAGAUCAUCUCCAAGGUCCGGGAUCGUCUCCUGGUUCUGAGAUCAUCUCCUGGGUCCGGGACCAUAUCCGGGUCAUAUCGUGCUCGGGUCCGGAUUAAGCCAAUCCAGAGUCCGGGUUAAGCCAAUCCUUUUCAUGUUAGAAUGUGGCUUGUUCAGGUGUCGGCUUGGACUCUUGUGUCCCGGUCCGGGAGAAGAGUGGAUAGGUUGUGUUUGGGUCCGGGACCAUCUCCUGGGUCCGGGAUCGUCUCCUGGGUCCGGGAUCAUCUCCGGGUCAUAUCGUGUUCGGGUCCGGAUUAAGCCAAUCCAGGGUCCAGAUUAAGCCAAUCCGGGUUAUACCCUAUCAUUUGCCCCCCACUCCCUUAUACAGAUUUUCUGUGUGAGGGAGUUGAGUGUAUUGUCCGGUGCGGGCUGAUUGCGGAGAAGGUGGAGUUUUUCAUUUGCCCCCCUGUCCGGGCUAACCUGGACAAGGUGGAAUUUUUGCUUUUGCGCCUCUAUCCCGGUUAAUCCGGUAUUAGGCGAAGAAUCCUGCUUUUGCUCCUCUGCCCGGGUUGACCCGGACUAGGUGUGAAAUCUUGCUCACCUAUCCAGGUGGAUCCAGACAUGGUGUGAAAUUUUGCUUUUGCCCCCCUGUCCGGACCGAUCUGGACGAAGUGGUGGGAUUCUGCUUUUUGCCCCCCGUCUGGGUUGAUCAGGGUAGGAUGUGAGAUUUUGCUUUUUGUCCCUCGGCCUGGGUUGAUCCGGACAAGAGGUUGAUAACGCCAAAUCCCGUUCCGGUGCUUCCUCCGCCGUGUACUGGUGUCUUGCGGUGUAGCUGCUGGACGGGUGUCUGCAAAACAACACCGGAGGGGGGUUUGAGCCCCGCGGCGCCUCCGGCGUGAGAAUGAGUACAGGCGUCGGAAAAUAUAUAGACGAGAAAUGAGUUAUCUAUAUAUGUGGUGGGUGAAGAUGUAUGGCUGCUGUGUAUGGUGGCUUAGAGUGUGUGAGAAAUAUGAGAGUGUGGAGAAGAAGAUCCUUAAGCCUCUCAUCCUUGGUCUAUUUAUAGGCCAAGGAUUAGGGUUUAAGGAUGUGUACCUUGGAUCCUGCUGUCCAUCUGUAGGGCUUGGAUGCUUAACACCUGUCCAGGUGUCAGCUAAGGAAUAGUAUUUUGGAGUGUUAUGAGGUUUGUCUUCAUAGUGUCAGUAGCUGGCAUUGGGUAUUGUCCUUGUCAUGUCAGACUGCAACUUGUUCAGGUGUCGGCUUGGACUCUUGUGUCCCGGUCCGGGGGAAGGAUGGAUAGGUUGCGUCUGGGUCCGGGAUCAUCUCCGGGGUCCGAGAUCAUCUCCAAGGUCCGGGAUCGUCUCCUGGUUCUGAGAUCAUCUCCUGGGUCCGGGACCAUAUCCGGGUCAUAUCGUGCUCGGGUCCGGAUUAAGCCAAUCCAGAGUCCGGGUUAAGCCAAUCCUUUUCAUGUUAGAAUGUGGCUUGUUCAGGUGUCGGCUUGGACUCUUGUGUCCCGGUCCGGGAGAAGAGUGGAUAGGUUGUGUUUGGGUCCGGGACCAUCUCCUGGGUCCGGGAUCGUCUCCUGGGUCCGGGAUCGUCUCCUGGGUCCGGGAUCAUCUCCGGGUCAUAUCGUGCUCGGGUCCGGAUUUAAGCCAAUCCAGGAUCCAGAUUAAGCCAAUCCGGGUUAUACCCUAUCAUA
RNAcentral lists this long non-coding RNA (1913 nucleotides) under Daucus carota (carrot). Its description in RNAcentral is "long non-coding RNA (DCAR_LNC005938)". The record is from RNAcentral. Lineage: Eukaryota; Viridiplantae; Streptophyta; Magnoliopsida; Apiales; Apiaceae.